RNAcentral lists this ribosomal RNA (253 nucleotides) under uncultured bacterium. Its description in RNAcentral is "partial 16S ribosomal RNA". It matches the Rfam family "Bacterial small subunit ribosomal RNA", at positions 524 to 776 of the family's 1533-position model. The record is from RNAcentral.
GACGUGGGGGGCCAGCGUUGCUCGGAAUUACUGGGCGUAAAGGGUUCGUAGGCGGUGUGGCAAGUCGGAAGUGAAAUCUCCAGGCUUAACUUGGAGGCUGCUCCCGAAACUGCCAUGCUAGAGUGCGGGAGAGGCGAGUGGAAUUGCAGGUGUAGCGGUGAAAUGCGUAGAUAUCUGCAGGAACACCCGUGGCGAAGGCGGCUCGCUGGACCGCAACUGACGCUGAGGAACGAAAGCUAGGGGAGCAAACAGG